GGUGCCCAUUGCUUUGUCCCUCUUACAGUGUGGAAAUGGGAAAGUGACUUUACACUCGUCGGCGCCGUGUUGAUCUCCGAAGCGUCCAAGGGCGGUUCGCUGAAACGUACCACCUGUCAGCAGCAUUGUGAGGAUCAGCAGAACACACACAAGGUGCUAACGUCCUGCCCGGGAGCAGGAAGAGGAUGUGCAAACGCUGCCGUUCUUUCAGACUGUUGAUGUGAGCACUUGAGCCGAAGCGGAGCAGGAUGCAAACACGCUGCCUGCUUGGUUGUCUGAGAAAACAGAUUGAUGUGUGACCUUUCCGGAAAUCUCAAUCUGCUUUUUUCAACCAAAUUAAGUAAAGGUUAGGAGAGCAGACUAAAAUAGUGUGAUAUUUUCAAAAUUGUUUUUCCUGUAACUUUUAAUAAGUGAUUUUUAAAAUAUC
Molecule: long non-coding RNA, 427 nt
Organism: Myotis brandtii (Brandt's bat)
Lineage: Eukaryota; Metazoa; Chordata; Mammalia; Chiroptera; Vespertilionidae
Exons: 2
Source: RefSeq, a predicted model, not a curated record